This 253-nucleotide ribosomal RNA is filed under the name uncultured bacterium. RNAcentral's name for it is "partial 16S ribosomal RNA". It matches the Rfam family "Bacterial small subunit ribosomal RNA", at positions 524 to 776 of the family's 1533-position model. The record is from RNAcentral.
UACGGGGGGGGCAAGCGUUGUUCGGAAUUACUGGGCGUAAAGGGCGCGUAGGCGGCUCUUUAAGUCCCGUGUGAAAGCCCCCGGCUCAACCGGGGAACUGCACGGGAAACUGGAAGGCUUGAGUUCGGGAGAGGGAAGCGGAAUUCCGGGUGUAGCGGUGAAAUGCGUAGAUAUCCGGAGGAACACCGGUGGCGAAGGCGGCUUCCUGGACCGACAAUGACGCUGAGGCGCGAAAGCUAGGGGAGCAAACGGG